ACGUACACUCCUGCGGGAGGCAGCAGUGGGGAAUAUUGCACAAUGGGCGCAAGCCUGAUGCAGCCAUGCCGCGUGUGUGAAGAAGGCCUUCGGGUUGUAAAGCACUUUCAGCGGGGAGGAAGGCGAUACGGUUAACAACCGUGUUGAUUGACGUUACCCGCAGAAGAAGCACCGGCUAACUCCGUGCCAGCAGCCGCGGUAAUACGGAGGGUGCAAGCGUUAAUCGGAAUUACUGAGCGUAAAGCGCACGCAGGCGGUCUGUCAAGUCGGAUGUGAAAUCCCCGGGCUCAACCUGGGAACUGCAUUCGAAACUGGCAGGCUUGAGUCUUGUAGAGGGGGGUAGAAUUCCAGGUGUAGCGGUGAAAUGCGUAGAGAUCUGGAGGAAUACCGGUGGCGAAGGCGGCCCCCUGGACAAAGACUGACGCUCAGGUGCGAAAGCGUGGGGAGCAAACAGGAGUAGAAACCCUGGUAGUCCCAUG
RNAcentral lists this ribosomal RNA (479 nucleotides) under uncultured organism. RNAcentral's name for it is "partial 16S ribosomal RNA". It matches the Rfam family "Bacterial small subunit ribosomal RNA", at positions 329 to 799 of the family's 1533-position model. The record is from RNAcentral.